GCCCUUGCCCAUAUAUUGUAAACACACCAAUUAUAAUCAAUUUGAGAGAAUUCUUCAAAGCUUAGGCUUUUCUUCUUUUUAGCAUUUUUGCUAAAUUGGUUUCUUCAAGUUCUUUGGGAAGCAGGAGUCUUUAGAAGUCUUAUUGAGCCAAUGAGUGGGGAUUAACUUAUCAGUAAGUCUGUGAUGUUUUUCAUUUCCUUGUUUAUUUUUCCUAUUCUUUGUUUUUUCUUUCCUUUUUGGAUUGUAG
Molecule: long non-coding RNA, 247 nt
Filed under: Carica papaya (papaya)
Lineage: Eukaryota; Viridiplantae; Streptophyta; Magnoliopsida; Brassicales; Caricaceae
Description: long non-coding RNA (CPAP_LNC005622)
Source: RNAcentral